CUGGGGCCUAGAGCAUAAGUACAUAUUUGUACCUCCCCUCCCCAUCCCCCCUUCCGCUUGGGAAAUAUCCAUUUGAGACAGUUCAUACCUCAAAAGAAUGGAGAUUACAGGUCCACCAGCCCAUUUAAAGUCCUGUAUUGAGCGGAGAUGGCAACGGUCCUCGUGUUAUUUAUCUGUGCCUUAUUUGUACAGUACUGUGCCAGUUCCACCUACUUAUGUUUUAAUACAGAGGAAUGAACCCACCAAUAUAUUAUUGGCAUAGAUUUGUUUGCAUUUUAAAAUGUUACUCUUCUGUUGGACAGAAAGCAGGAAAUUGUAAAAGCAGUGGUUGUUUGUAAAAUAGUGAGCACUGUGUCAAAUAUCGGCAUUAAAAUGCCUCCCAAAAAUUUUU
Molecule: non-coding RNA, 391 nt
Organism: Pelobates cultripes (western spadefoot toad)
Lineage: Eukaryota; Metazoa; Chordata; Amphibia; Anura; Pelobatidae
Source: the annotation of a GenBank genome assembly